GAUGAACGCUGGCGGCGUGCCUAAUACAUGCAAGUCGAGCGAACAGAUGAGGAGCUUGCUCCUCUGACGUUAGCGGCGGACGGGUGAGUAACACGUGGAUAACCUACCUAUAAGACUGGGAUAACUUCGGGAAACCGGAGCUAAUACAGGAUAAUAUAUUGAACCGCAUGGUUCAAUAGUGAAAGAGGGUUUUGCUGUCACUUAUAGAUGGAUCCGCGCCGCAUUAGCUAGUUGGUAAGGUAACGGCUUACCAAGGCAACGAUGCGUAGCUGACCUGAGAGGGUGAUCGGCCACACUGGAACUGAGACACGGUCCAGACUCCUACGGGAGGCAGCAGUAGGGAAUCUUCCGCAAUGGGCGAAAGCCUGACGGAGCAACGCCGCGUGAGUGAUGAAGGUCUUCGGAUCGUAAAACUCUGUUAUUAGGGAAGAACAAAUGUGUAAGUAACUAUGCACGUCUUGACGGUACCUAAUCAGAAAGCCACGGCUAACUACGUG
RNAcentral lists this ribosomal RNA (497 nucleotides) under uncultured bacterium. RNAcentral describes it as "partial 16S ribosomal RNA". It matches the Rfam family "Bacterial small subunit ribosomal RNA", at positions 28 to 507 of the family's 1533-position model. The record is from RNAcentral.